This is a long non-coding RNA of Ostrea edulis (European flat oyster), 629 nucleotides long. RefSeq lists it as uncharacterized. The transcript has 2 exons. The record is from RefSeq and is a predicted model, not a curated record. NCBI's taxonomy places the organism in Eukaryota, Metazoa, Mollusca, Bivalvia, Ostreida, Ostreidae.
CUUUUUGCCUUCCGGUGUACAUAAGAUUUAUGAAAGAGUGUAAGCUUUUUGUAGUGCAAGCAGGGAUGAGAGUAGGCCUCCCGGGAAAUGAAGCUUAAAAAACAACAACAAGAGGUUCAUUGUCAUCAUACGUAUCAGCGACAGCGAUCGUUUCAAGUUCUACACAGCGUCGUGCGCCAGAAACACUUCAGUCUUCACUCAGACUUCACAGACGACGAUUUUGUUGCAGAAAGUAUUUACGUCUCUGUGGUGGUGAUGUCCUAUCCGACAUGGCUGAUCAUCUACAACAUAAAGGACACAUCGGGGUUGUUGCUUAAUUCACAAUUUCAGUGGCCUCCUUAUAUAUUUGAAAACUAUUAGCCGAGAAUAAACGCAACAAUGUGCGAAUUAAUCUCGAUGAAUAUAGCACGUCUAUUUAACGCCUGGAAAUUCUUACAGAACUAAAUGUAGAGCGUAAAUACAUUUUGUAUGAUAAACAAAUUUCUAAGAUAUAUUUUGAAAAUACAUGAGGGUAUGAAAUGCAACGCUUCACGUCAGCUUACUUUUCAUGCAGUGCUAACCAUGUGUCGUGCUUCGUGAAACAUGCUAGUGUAAAUCGUCAACAUUUUUAAAAAAUAAAAUUCAUUUCU